CACACCACAGCUCCACACAAAACAGCCUUCCCUCCACACACACACGCAGCCACGCACACCACAGCGUCACAUCGUGACCUCCCCCCUCCACACACACGCAGCCCCACACACGCUCUGACCUCCACACGGCUCACCACAGCCCCCCCCAGCCCGCGGCCAAACACACCACAGCAUCACACGCACCAGAGCAGGCCGCGCAACAAAUAGCCGCGCGCAUACUCCACAACCACACCACAGCCGCCCGCGCGCAGCCCCUUCCCCAGCGACAGCACAACCUGCCCAAGCACAGGCACACUGUGAAGCCGAGGCUUCAGACCAGGGCCCUUCCCCACGUCCUGCCCAGCUCCUCCUGGCACACCUCUCUCCCACUUCACCAUCAGAUUUUCAGCAGCAGGCGUUACCACAGAAGCCUGGGGCUGCUUUCAUGUACGCCCUGAGACAACGCCAUCCCUUCUGGUGUCGCCUUGCCCCUGGUAACUGUAGGCCUCCUCCUGCAUUAGAGCUGGGAUUUUCAACGUUACUCAAUGAAGGCUGAGCUGCUUCUGACUUCUCUGAGCCUCAGGUGACGUUCCCUCGUUUUAGGUCUUUCUCAAAUCCUAGGACCCCAGGGCUUGUUACUGUCAUCCUCCAUCGCUAAAAGCAACUCCAUCUAUUUCACUCCUGACUAUGAAUUUUCUAAGGCCUUUGGAUGCGCUUCCUGGGAUACAAGGGGGCAACGGGAACCCAGCGCCUCGCAAAUGGAUCAAAUCUGCAGGCUCAGAAGGCAGUCUCCGAGGCUGAAGCCCUCUGAAAGGUGUACCUCAAGCUGAGCAGACAAAACAGGUCACAAAGCCGUUUGUGAAACUCUUGGACGCAGGGAGGAGGAGGAAUUCAUUAAUUCAGCAAACAAGGUUUCACCCAGGGCAAAUUCUGCAUCACAUCACCUCAGCAUUACCAGAAUCAUUACAGCACCACGUGGAGCAGGAAGGUCUCACCUGCUGAAGGAAGCCUGUACAGAACAGCAACAGGGGGAAGGAGGGGAAAGAAGGAGAAAAGAGGAAAUAUCUGGUUUCGAUCAACUCCUUAAAAAUAGAAGUCUGAUUGCUGUUGCCCAUUUCUGAUUCCCCAAGGGAGAGCAGGAGAAGAAGAAGAAUCUAUAAAUAGCUUGCAACACAGAGAAUCCUAUAGCAAAGUUGCUGGGAAAGAUCAAUAGCAUGAUUCAAGGAGGGCUCCAAAUUACAUCUCAGGGGAGGGAGGUGCUGAAUGGAAUUGAUAAAUGAGUUGCAAAUGCUGUGUGUGUUGUGUGUAUCUAAUUAACGGAGGGUGACUGGGAUCAAUAGCAACGAAGGAGCUGGUCUAAAAAUAGCGCUCGGGCAGGGAUUGCAACCUGCGGGCAACAGCUUGGAUGGAAAUGUCCCCUGGAGUAAUUAACCUUUAGCUGGAAAGUGGUGGUUAGCGUGGGAUCAAAGUGGAGCCUGUGGGCAGCUGGGAAGGGAUGAGGUCUCCGUGGAACUUCAGGGCACAAAGUAGCGUGACAGUCAUGGAGGGUAUAGGCACGGCCAUGAGCUUGCAGCCUUCCUCUGAUCAGGCUGCAGUGUCAAGCUGCGGAUUGAUGUAGUGCUUUCUGGAGAAAUAAUCUGAGUAUUAGCAUUUUGCUGGGGUUGUGGAACUGGAAGUAUUUGUAGUUCUGUGUACUUGCAAAGGUUUCAACAUUGCUUAGAGAAAAAUCACAGUCAUUUUUUAAACAUCAAUUUAUGUCUACAAGAAUUUGGGUUUUUCUUCUUUUAUGCUGACCUUGUUGCCGAGAAAGCAUCCACCUCUGAGAACCAGUCUUUGCUCAUCCAGACUCACCAACAGAAGUCCAUAUUUGAACCACAGAGCAAAUAACGUCCAAAGAGACGUGUCCCUCAAUCCUUCCAUCUACAGCAGAGCAGUCAAGCAAACUUCAGGGAGAUUGAUGUUGGACAGGAUGAUCUAUGGCUCAGCUCAUGGGCUCUUCUGGAGCACCAGGCUGAGCUGGCAUCACCCAAGUGAGAGGCAAAGACACAUACACCCAGGAACAGAAAGUUCAUUGUCAGCCUGAGUGCAGGAUUGGGACCCAGGGUGUACGGCAUGACUGAAAGAAAAGGAAACCAUAAAGAUGAAGAAUCUAGAAAAUAUAUCUUUGUAAAGCUGGCAUGGAAAGGAUUAGAGGGGUAAGGGAUGAGUGAAGAGCUUUUCUCUCAUAUAGAUAGAGGUGGCUAAAAAGAUCUUUCCUGGCCAAAAGUUUUCUCCAUAAGGUUAAAAAAAAAAAAAAGUCUUUUAUUCUGUUGUUGAUAGACCUACUGAUUGUUGAUAGAGCUACUGAAGCAGCAAACCUUGUUUAGUCACCAAAAGGAAGGUUAACUCGAAGUGUCAACAGAUUUCUUAGCUCCUCUCAGUUUAGCCUAACUUGAGGGAGAGCAAGCCAGGCUGGAAAACAACCCUGAGCUGUGUAGUGGUUGCCCUGGCUGCUGGCAGCCGUGCUAACCCAACAUUUCACCUACUCUCUCCACAAAAAGUCAACGAGAGUUAGAAGUCUCCCACACUCAAGGUAAGAGUGUGUGGGUGCUGUUGUGUUAUAGCAGCUCUCCUGUUUUACCUUGAGUUCACUCUGCAACGAAAGCAAGAGCUAGCUGCAAGGCAACUGGCUUCCGAGUUGCUUUUGUGGACCUCUCCAGUCGCUUCUGUUGACCUGUCGAGAGGUGCUUCUUGAGAGAGCUCUAAUGUCUCUCUCUGCAAGAAGGGGCUGAGAGCUGCCAAACCAUGAGCCAUCUUCCAGCUGAACCACAGGAGUCCCAACAAACCAGAUAAGGAAAAAAAGCCCCCAAACCAGAAAAAAUAACCGAAAAACAUGAUCAAAACUAGAAAGAAAAAGAGCUAACCUAUUUAUUUUUCUACACAGGUUAUCAAGAAACCAUUUUCUUGAAACAGUGGCACGAAGAUGGUCAGAACGGCAGUUCUGGUUCAGGGCCAAGGUUCAUUUAGCCCAGAAGUUUCUCUUCUGCAGAGGCUGUAGCAGACAUGAGGGAGAAAUGCAAACAGAACAAAGCUUGUGCAUGGCAGAAAGGGUGAGUUCACUUCUCAAUAUACAAGCCGAAGGUCUCUUCCAGGACUGCUGUGAAGGAUUUGGAAGAUGUUUCACUCAAACACAGAAUUUAUAUAUAGGCACAAAGCUUUCAUUAAACAUGAGCAGCUAAGGGGACAGCAUCAGUCACUGAUGGUAAUGUAUGCACGUCUUGUAGGCACACUAUAGAGGAACAAGCUGCCUUGCAGAAAUUAAUACAGCAAAGGUGUUGAUUAUUGAUGCAUUUGUUACUGAAUUGACUCCGCCUAAGUUUCCAGAGCCAAUGUGACUUCCAGAUCUAUUUGUAGAUUACCAAAUGCUCACAGUGUGACUGUCGCUUUUGCAUUUACUGCAGCAGAUGCCUCAAUGUAAUAUUUGAUGCGUACUUUAGAUGACUACCUUGUGUACCAAAACUGAAUAACCCUGAAUAAGAAUAAGUCUUUGAGAACCUGGCAGAGUAGAAAGGAAGAUCCCUGUACUGGUACAGCCUUCUCCAUCAUCACCAAAGGUAAUGGAGCCACAAAGAUCCAGAGCGCUGCGAGAGAUGUCUACCUGUAGCAAUGGGUACUGUGUUUUGAUGCAACAAAUUCUGAAUGAAUUUGUGGAAGUGUGCAUUUUGUUAAAAUCACCACUGAAGAAGGAAAUUAAUUGCUUAGGGGGCUUCCUGGCUAGUGCAAUAAGCUACAAUUGUUACUAAUGGAAUGCCGCUGUAAAGGGAAAAUAGGAGCUAUCAUGAGUAUUUGCUGUAGAAUUGUCUUGUCCAGAAGAAAAGACUCCAUAUUGCUUGGAAUAUUUAAAAUAAGGCUGAAUAAAAUGUGCUGAUUUACCUUA
Aquila chrysaetos chrysaetos is the source of this 3895-nucleotide long non-coding RNA. RefSeq lists it as uncharacterized. The record is from RefSeq and is a predicted model, not a curated record. NCBI's taxonomy places the organism in Eukaryota, Metazoa, Chordata, Aves, Accipitriformes, Accipitridae. The transcript has 2 exons.